GAUGAACGCUGGCGGCGUGCCUAAUACAUGCAAGUCGAGCGAAUGGAUUAAGAGCUUGCUCUUAUGAAGUUAGCGGCGGACGGGUGAGUAACACGUGGGUAACCUGCCCAUAAGACUGGGAUAACUCCGGGAAACCGGGGCUAAUACCGGAUAACAUUUUGAAUCGCAUGGUUCGAAAUUGAAAGGAGGCUUCGGCAGUCACUUACGGUAGGACCCGGGUCGCAUUAGCUAGUUGGUGAGGUAACGGCUCACCAAGGCAACGAUGCGUAGCCGACCUGAGAGGGUGAUCGGCCACACUGGGACUGAGACACGGCCCAGACUCCUACGGGAGGCAGCAGUAGGGAAUCUUCCGCAAUGGACGAAAGUCUGACGGAGCAACGCCGCGUGAGUGAUGAAGGCUUUCGGGUCGUAAAACUCUGUUGUUAGGGAAGAACAAGUGCUAGUUGAAUAGGCUGGCACCUUGACGGUACCUAACCAGAAAGCCACGGCUAACUACGUGCCAGCCGCCGCAGUAA
RNAcentral lists this ribosomal RNA (515 nucleotides) under uncultured bacterium. Its description in RNAcentral is "partial 16S ribosomal RNA". It matches the Rfam family "Bacterial small subunit ribosomal RNA", at positions 28 to 523 of the family's 1533-position model. The record is from RNAcentral.